RNAcentral lists this ribosomal RNA (3831 nucleotides) under Triticum aestivum (bread wheat). RNAcentral describes it as "partial small subunit ribosomal RNA". Lineage: Eukaryota; Viridiplantae; Streptophyta; Magnoliopsida; Poales; Poaceae. The record is from RNAcentral.
GAAAACUCCGGAGAGCGCGUAACGUCAAAGCACAUGGAGCGCCAGCUCGAGGGCGUUCGGCGUUUGUAGGACACGAAAGGGUAGGCGGGUAGAAGGUGGCGGCGGCGGCGGCUGUCCCGCCAGAGGGGAAGGACCUAGGCGGCGGCCUACGAGGAGGCGGCGUGGCGGCGGCGUCGUCGCGUCGCGAGGAGGACCAAUGGGGGGACCGCUUGGUAGGAGGGCGUGCAGCCGGGGCGGGCGGGAAUAUCGCGAUGGUGGAGGUGGAGGAGGGGUGUGGCCGUCGCCGACGCGUGUGGCGUCCAAUGCCUGUCAAGCGAAUGAUGGUGGCGACGCGGGGCUGGCAAGGGCCUGAUGAGAGGCGGGGCGGGGCUGAGCGGCCGGCUGCUACGGGAGCGCGCGGCAGAGCGGCGGCGCGAGGAGCGAAGCGGGUCGGGUCCGAGGGAGGGAGUAGAGGGGAAGUAAGGGGAGGCGGGCGACGUGGACGAGGAGCGUGAGGGGGACGAGCGGAGGGUGGGGUUGGAGUGGUCGGAGGACCAGGGCGAGGAGGACGAGAAGGGGAGGGCUGGAGUGGGGGUAGGGGUUGAGUAGGUUACGAAGCGGUAACGGCGGGUAGAGCGGCACGCGCUUGGGCCUUGACGCGCACGAUAGGAACAUGCUCGAGAAGCAAAGGGUAGAGGAGUAGCCGUAAAGCAGCUCGUCAAGUAGAAGUGUAUGUUCCGGAAGAGCAGCCUGGGGCGGAGGAAGCUGGAGGAGGAGGACACGGAGGGGAGGCGGGUCGACGAGGCGGCCGAGGCGGUCAUGCCGGAUAGGGGUAGGGGUCUUAGGACAUUACGACACGAGAGGGCGGAAGGGGAACUACUUCGUCAACGGAACAAGGCUCUUGAGGGGCUGUUCUUGCAGACGAGGGUGUUAUAUGAGGAGUUCCGCGAGGAAUCACGUCCGGCCGAGUUCCUACGUGCGGUUGUAAAACUACUUUACAGCAGUGGCGGUCUACAACACUGCAUGCCGUGAUACCAGGUACCGAUGACGCUAACACCACUCGACCUCUUACGCCACUUCGACAACCUACUUUACCGUCGUUUCCCCGACCUCAGUUUACGCUGUCACAUAUGUUCACACUAACGUAACGACACGUUAUUUCCCGUCCAAAGUCUACGAAACUCCCACCAUCUCCUGUACUGCUACGUACCCCACCACAACCUACGUCACCACAAAUGUUGACAUUACUCACCUAAAACAUCGUUCCCACUAAACCGUCGACGUUCUUCCAACAAGCUUCUCUACGUCUUCUCUCCCAACCGGCGACUACCCCACUGUAUAUGGCGCGAAUAGUUACCAGAAACAGCCCGACCCCUCAACUUUCUCCGUCUGUCUCAUGAAGUCCUCUACCACCUGUUCCCUAACCUACAACUACACCAGUGUAUAUGUCGUGAGUAACUACCCAUGACGUUUUCUCCCUUGUACCACCUUCGGAAGGCUCAAGUGUUACUUUACCAUGCCUCUUCUCACCGUGGUUUACACCACUGUAUGUGCCGAGACAGACUACCUGACACGUUCGUCCCCCUACACGCACGACGAUUACUCGAUAACGUACUCUACACGUUGUUCCCCAAUCUCGACUUACAAAUGUGUAUGUUGAGGGACUAGUUACCGGACACGUUCAAACCGUUAGACCUCGUCCGGUACUCCUAGUACUGUCUCUACCUUCGUCGGCCUGAAUCUGGUCUACAAAUAUGUAUAUGUUGAGAAUAUCUAUGUGAGACGUUCAGUCCUCUCAAACUGUCCCGAGUGUCGUACAAUGUCCUUUACAAUCUAUUUCCUUAAUUCGGAUCAUAACGCUGAAUGUUACAAGAUUACUUACCAAAAACGUACAGUCCAUCCCAUCUUCCUCCUUCUUUCGACGAGCUCACCUACGACCUCUUCUUGCAGGCGGGUUUACAACAUUGCAUAUUAAGAGAAUACUUCGUCAUGACGUAACUGUUCUUGUACUUUAGAUGGUGACUCUAAAUGUUCCCCUACGUAAGAGUCCUCCACCGAGGUUUACUCUUGUGUAUGUUAUAUAACUAGUUCCCCGUGUCAUUCCGUUCUUUAUACUUUCUCCGUGACAUAAAGGUAGUACUUUACUAUCUCUUCCCUAAAUCUGAGUGUUGUUCGAGAAUAUCACGAGAAUAUUCUAACGACUUAUUUUUCUUCUUUAAAAGACUCCGUUCUCCCAAUAAACUGCUCUACGCUUUCCUCCCAAACUAUCGACUUGGUCUACAAAUGUCAAAAAUAUAACUGUAGUCAAAAUUACUCCUAUUAAACCUCAGCUGGUAAUGUGAAACACUACUUGACCACCUUCGGUCAGUACAUUUUAGAUUUCGACCGUGUUUGAUUCUGAAACGUUUCCUCGUAUGCGUAGUCUUGCACUAAAACCCUACACUAUCGUCGCCAUAGGAUCAAAAAAGUCUUAACUGUUAUACACUCUGCUUUUGUCUGAGUGCUUUUCGUGAUAGGAGAUACGGUAGGAUUUGAUCGUUAACUCUUACUACUAUCAUAGGAAAGAUGCCGGUGGAACUAUAAGGGAACAUUCGACACCUCCAUAUAUACACCCUACGCGUGACUCCACAAAUACGUGAAAACGUUCCUCUUUGCCAAAGAUAGAAGUAGUUAACAGUUCGUUGUUCCUGUCACUAGUCCGUUCGUCACUCACCUAUUUAGACCAUCCCCUCACACGUCCCGAAGUGAGUUAACCAUUCGUUAAAGACGACUACGACGGCACUACCUUUCUACCUGGACCUUUCUCUAUCCUCUUCGGUUCUGUUAUUCAUACGUGUUAACGUAGGUAAUAUCCCACCUUUCCUUCCUCAUUGGAGACAGCCGUAAGUACUUAUUGAGAAACCUUCUAUUGUAACUCUUGAGUAAACUCGAGAAACAAGAUGGGUACUUUAGUUUUCCGUCUACAUCAAGAAACAAAAGUGUGAGCUAAGGAAGUGGUCACAACUACUAUCCUAGGUCGGGACGAAUUGACCCGUGACUGAAACCACAGGUAGCAGACAGUGUAUUGGUGUAUCAGUGUAACCACUAUAUUGUGAUCCCGUGUAGAUCUACACGAGAUCAAUAACGUGUAGAUUCACUGAGUUAGUUCGAUCUUUCUUUUUCUUUUUUCUGCUUUCUUUUUACGAACGUGUUUAGAAUCGCAUUUUAGUUACUGUAUCCUGAAUCUACACGUUAUGAAUCUCGUGUAGAUCUACACGAAAUCGUUUUGACAUAUUGUUUUAUACCCUCCUCUUCCAAGAAACUCUACGAACUUUAGUACAAACAAAUAGACUAUCGUAGACCUGUCUUGUUCUAAGCUGGAACACGACGGUGUUACCAUUAACCCGUUUUAUAUCAACUAUACACGUAACAUUCUUAGUUAAACAACACAUACUUUCAGGAUAAAUAUAAAUCCCGGACAAGCCUCUAAGAGGGCGAGGGGUUCAGGCGAGAUCCUCAACCACCUCGACAUCGAUUUUUACCACCUCACCCCUUUUCCGUCGAGGUAUCUAAGAGUCUAAAGUCCCUCGACCUCCUGACGGCUUGUCGAGGAAUAUAUGAUGAUCGUGUGUACGGGCACGUAACGUUGCCUUCUUUUAUGUAUAUGUUACUACUUACCAGUUUCCCAUUAAAAACCAAUUUUUUAGUUGUUAAGAUAAAGCGACCGAACCUGGUACUAUGUACAUGUUAAAAGUAUCUGUGUUUAAGGAGUUCAAAAACCUGUCAACAGGAGUGUAGAGGAGACGUGGAACGAGAGAAUAAAACUCGAUUUCGCGUUAAGUCUGUGUACUUAUAGUAUGUUAGAUAAGUGUU